RNAcentral lists this ribosomal RNA (844 nucleotides) under Salmonella enterica. RNAcentral's name for it is "partial 23S ribosomal RNA". It matches the Rfam family "Bacterial large subunit ribosomal RNA", at positions 346 to 1192 of the family's 2925-position model. Lineage: Bacteria; Pseudomonadati; Pseudomonadota; Gammaproteobacteria; Enterobacterales; Enterobacteriaceae. The record is from RNAcentral. RNAcentral also lists the same sequence under 1 other name.
AAAGGCGCGCGAUACAGGGUGACAGCCCCGUACACAAAAGCGCAUGUGCUGUGAGCUCGAUGAGUAGGGCGGGACACGUGGUAUCCUGUCUGAAUAUGGGGGGACCAUCCUCCAAGGCUAAAUACUCCUGACUGACCGAUAGUGAACCAGUACCGUGAGGGAAAGGCGAAAAGAACCCCGGCGAGGGGAGUGAAAAAGAACCUGAAACCGUGUACGUACAAGCAGUGGGAGCACAGGUUUACCUGUGUGACUGCGUACCUUUUGUAUAAUGGGUCAGCGACUUAUAUUCUGUAGCAAGGUUAACCGUAUAGGGGAGCCGGAGGGAAACCGAGUCUUAACCGGGCGUUAAGUUGCAGGGUAUAGACCCGAAACCCGGUGAUCUAGCCAUGGGCAGGUUGAAGGUUGGGUAACACUAACUGGAGGACCGAACCGACUAAUGUUGAAAAAUUAGCGGAUGACCUGUGGCUGGGGGUGAAAGGCCAAUCAAACCGGGAGAUAGCUGGUUCUCCCCGAAAGCUAUUUAGGUAGCGCCUCGUGAAUUCAUCUCCGGGGGUAGAGCACUGUUUCGGCUAGGGGGCCAUCCCGGCUUACCAACCCGAUGCAAACUGCGAAUACCGGAGAAUGUUAUCACGGGAGACACACGGCGGGUGCUAACGUCCGUCGUGAAGAGGGAAACAACCCAGACCGCCAGCUAAGGUCCCAAAGUCAUGGUUAAGUGGGAAACGAUGUGGGAAGGCCCAGACAGCCAGGAUGUUGGCUUAGAAGCAGCCAUCAUUUAAAGAAAGCGUAAUAGCUCACUGGUCGAGUCGGCCUGCGCGGAAGAUGUAACGGGGCUAAACCAUGC